CUGCAUAUGUCAUCCGUAUACUGUGGAGGUCCUCUUCAUGCGGCUGCUGCUGGUGGGGUGGGAGAGGGUUGGUUGGUUGCCGACGUUGUCAAAUAGGCGACACAGCCAAGCUGUAGCCAGACUUUGGAGGAGAAAUGAGAGAGGGUUGCAACCCCUAGGACAAAAUGCAUCUUGGAAGGUAUUUUGAAGGGAAGAUAAGUAGGAGGUGCGAAGGGUAGAGUUGUUCUGCACCGGGAGUGAGGGAGACCUUUGCAUGGGUGAUGGAAUUCUCCUCCGGGCAUCUUCGCAGACGUUGUAGUACUCGGGAUUACAUGCAGUAUCACCGUGUGGGAAAAGUAUUCCAAGUUUACUUGGUACGAAAAGUGACGAGUCAGGAGAAUCCAAGAAACCUAUGAAACUGGUAUUUGAGGAGACGUUUCCUGGAAAUCCUGGUGUGACUGGAAAGGGAGGGAACGAAAUUGGAUGUCACGACGUCACGGGGGUCCAAAUAUGAGCCGUUUCAGAUUGAAAACCUUUGGCUUCCUGUCACUGUUAGGUGGUUAAAAUAGGCUGCAAAGCUAUUUUUAUAAACCAUUUAAUUGCAGUCAUAAAAUAUUUUUAAUUUUAGUGUAAAAUGGCAGUAUGAAUGUCCCGAGCAUCAAUAUAUACAUGAGGAUGAUGAGCACAUUAAUAAAACGAAGGCUUGAAUGUAUUAACACCACUCUAUAAAGUGAAUCCUGUUUCCUGCAUGAGUUUAAAUCCCGGCGAGAGACAGCACAGGUAGACGAAGCAUACCACAGGUUAGAAAAGCCCAUUGUUGGCGUAGGUGAGAGCCAAACUAAUCCUAAGAGCUUUCUUCCCAUUGACGUUAACUGUUGGGCGUGUGGAUGAAAUAUCCCCUCUCGUCUCGAUUACAGUGUGAGUCGUCCUAUGUGACUCUACCUACAUCCUCUCCAUGAGAAUCAAACAGGAGCUAUUUAGUUGGACUUGGUAUACCUUUAAUCUCGUCCAUCUUCUAGCACAGGUCAUUCCCACAUCCAAGAUGAUGAUAAGGCUGAUUUGCUUGAUUUUUUAAUCGUGUCGUUAAAUAAAGAAGGAUGGGUAGGCCGGUCCCCGAUGUACUGCCUUCAUUUUAAAGAAGGUGUUUAAUUGCACCCUGUCUACCAACAAAAGGUCUCGAGAAUAGCGAGCAAGGCGAGAAGGUAUCUUCCAACACUUUUCAAUCAUAUUAUUACGAUAAUAAAUUGAUUAUUGGUCUAGGCAGCAACUUGAAGAACUGUUUCAUGCAAGCGCUUAAUAUAUUCACGUGCAAAUUGCAGACAUCUAUUUAAAUUACAUGGAGUUGGAGUGCCUUUUUAUCACCUACGAAAAAUAUCACUCUAUGUAAAUCCUGGGGGAAUAAUGACAAUAUAUUUUGCUGAAUUUUGCCUGUUACAUUGCACGCAGUUGGCAGUUUGGUUAACAACGCUGUAAAAACGACAUAAAAUAAAGCAGUACUAGGACACGGAGCUGAUGGAUAUUUCAUUGGAAGAAGGUUCACGUUGGUUAAGUAAACAACUUGUUUGUAUCUUCACAUCAAGUUUGUCAACUUUCUUUCCAUUUUCUCGAAACAAGGACGAGUAUUGCAAAUACUUUGGGAGGAGGGCGAGACGGCCAGAGUGAGAAAAAUGCAUGAAAAAUGUGAAUAUGUGUAUCUUGGAUAGAUUUGUAAAUAUGUACCGUAUAUUCAUCCAUGUACCUGCUUACAUACUAUACGCGUGGUAGCAUGAUGAAGAUUAAUUUCUCAAAAAUAUACAAGACGAGUUAAGUAUUUCAGUGAUAAUAUGCAAGUCCUCUUUUAAUCCAACUCGACAACUUUUCCGAACAAGCCAUGUGUCAGAAUGAAUAAUAAUGUGACCUCGUCUCCCUCAGUCUGUGCAAAUAGAUUAUUAGCGACUCACCCAGUCACCAACCAAAUGUGGUUAAUGAAAUGAAUGGUAGCUAGUAAACGUUGAUAUAAAGUAGUAGUUAAAUUGCUUGUGUAAGUGAGUGUAGAUCCCAGAUUGGAGAUGAAGUAAUAAUCCCGUCGUCUCGUGAUGCAGUAUUCAGCAGUUGGUCGUGGUGGUGGUGCGGCAAGUGUGGCUCAUGAGAUAUAGGAGGACGCACGGAGAGAAUGAGACGGACUUUAUACAGAAGCAACAAGUGAGCAAAGUGAGACGAGGAAUCUCUUCGCCAUGUGCAGCAUGUGGAAUUUCUCUCUUUUAUUAAUCUCCUCACUCAACUUUGCUUCACAUCACGGGGAUACGCAGUGAAUGUUAUUUGCUCAAGUAAUCUCAAGGCAAUUUUGGUUUGAAUACGAAACACAAGUCCAGAUUUGUAGCCUUCUGAAUUCAUUCUCAUGACACCACUAAUCAGGAUUAGUAGUAUUAUUAUUACUGAAGUUUUAAAGCAAGCCCACUUCACAUCCAGGAAUAAUGACGUUUUAAUUAGUUUCUAAUGUUGUUCCAACGCCUUUCAUUAAAAUCUGCUCAGUAUGGUAAAUAAACAAAUGAGUUGGAUAUAUUUUAAUGGACUCUCAUAAUGUGCACUAAACUGUAUUUAUUCGUAGCUGAAAAUUUCAUGUAAUUUCGAGUAAGUAUAUACGUAACUACUAAAAUAUGUUUACCACUCAAAUUGGCUUUAUUGGGUACAUAAUCUAUAGUAUUAACACAAAAAAGAAGAAGCACA
Molecule: long non-coding RNA, 2685 nt
Organism: Folsomia candida
Lineage: Eukaryota; Metazoa; Arthropoda; Collembola; Entomobryomorpha; Isotomidae
Exons: 2
Source: RefSeq, a predicted model, not a curated record